Long non-coding RNA from Balaenoptera musculus (blue whale), 1368 nucleotides. RefSeq lists it as uncharacterized. The record is from RefSeq and is a predicted model, not a curated record. NCBI's taxonomy places the organism in Eukaryota, Metazoa, Chordata, Mammalia, Artiodactyla, Balaenopteridae. The transcript is spliced from 4 exons.
CUCGGGUCCCCGUCCGGCUCCCUGUCCGGCUCUCUGUUACCCCAGCUCUGCCAAUUCUCCCCUCGAGGCUCCCACCUCCCUGCACUACAGCGAGCCGUGGGGGAGGAGGCAUGGGGAAAGCCUGAACUGCCGAGAGGGAAAAGACCAGAUCAGAAGCGGAGAAGCCAGGCGGAAGGCGGCCAACGGAGAAUUGGGAAGGGGUGUGCGUGGUCCUACCUGCUCAGAACCACCUCUUCUGGGAGACGGAGACCUGCUGCUGUUCGUAGCUUAAGACAGAAAUGUCUUCGAGGGCACCUGAUCUUUUCGGGAGGAACCGGAGGUCACAUCUUUCCCCAGAAGUUAAAAAGUGGGACAUCAGAGUUCUUAUUGCUGCAUCUUAAAAGGACACUGAAUAAAGGCAGGGAGCAACGAAGGGGAAGAAAGAGAGAGCUCUGCCGACUUUCUGGAUCUCUGGAUAGCUUGGACCUCACACUCUCUUGCCAGUCAUCCAGUCACAGGCAGGUCUUCACUGAGCCAGAAAUGUCAGUUGCAGCUCUGGGGUUGAAACUCACACCAAGUUUAUUGUGUCUGUGUGCGUUCCAUGGCAAUACCCACCAACACUCUAUGGAAGCUUCAUCUGCUACUGUGAAGAAAAAUAAAUAAACCAGGAUACAGACACACAGCCCACCACCUUCAAGAGGAAGAAUGUAGGUCAGCAUCUCUGCCACUACUCCCUGCGAAACAGCCUAUGCUCCUGGCAAAAAACAAGUAACCACAGGCUCAGCCCAGCCCCUUAAAAAUCCCACCAGAGCUGUCAGCUUCAGUGAGAAAAGGACUUUCUUCCCCCUCUCAGUCCGCUCCAGCUGUCUGAAUCACACUGAAGACCUCGCUGACAAACAUGCAUCAGGUGUUGCUCCCACAAGGGCAGCGGAAGCCAAGCAGGGACUCUAAGGCAGCUUCACGCAUCAUUGACAGAACCAACCCUGUUCCAAUUGCUGAAGUCUUAAGAGCAUCAAUGACCUAGAAAUUGACAGUGUGGGGAGAAUGGAAGGAAAGGAAACUAACAAACCAGUACACAGAAAACCUGAUUUCCAAAUACCAGGGGAAAGGAAGAGAAAGGAGGUAGAGGGGAAAGAAAUUUGGCCCCUUUGAAUCUGCAAAGGCGAUCUUGGCUCAGAGCCAUGGAGGAUGCAUAGACGCCCCACUGCGAGGCAAACCACGUUCCUGACUCCAGCCCUGCAGUUAAGAGGAAGGCGCCAAGCCUCCAACACAACGAGGUGGGGAGGCUGCUCCUUUUUGGGCAGGAUCCUACUGUGGACACAGAACAGACAGCAGCUGCCCACAGUGUGGAAACAAACUGUAAAGCAGUCACGUCUCUUAAGGCUGCAG